UGGGGAAUAUUGCACAAUGGGCGAAAGCCUGAUGCAGCAACGCCGCGUGAGGGAUGAAGGCCUUCGGGUUGUAAACCUCUUUUAGCAGGGAAGAAGCGAAAGUGACGGUACCUGCAGAAAAAGCACCGGCUAACUACGUGCCAGCAGCCGCGGUAAUACGUAGGGUGCAAGCGUUGUCCGGAAUUAUUGGGCGUAAAGAGCUCGUAGGCGGUUUGUCGCGUCUGCUGUGAAAAUCCGAGGCUCAACCUC
Molecule: ribosomal RNA, 249 nt
Filed under: uncultured Rhodoluna sp.
Lineage: Bacteria; Bacillati; Actinomycetota; Actinomycetes; Micrococcales; Microbacteriaceae
Description: partial 16S ribosomal RNA
Rfam family: Bacterial small subunit ribosomal RNA
Source: RNAcentral